GUCGAGGGGUAUAGUAGCAAUACUAGAGACCGGCGCACGGGUGCGUAACGCGUAUGCAAUCUACCUUAUACAGAGGGAUAGCCCAGAGAAAUUUGGAUUAAUACCUCAUAGCAUAGCAACUUCGCAUGAAGUCACUAUUAAAGUUCCAACGGUAUAAGAUGAGCAUGCGUCCUAUUAGCUAGAUGGUAAGGUAACGGCUUACCAUGGCUACGAUAGGUAGGGGUCCUGAGAGGGAGAUCCCCCACACUGGUACUGAGACACGGACCAGACUCCUACGGGAGGCAGCAGUGAGGAAUAUUGGACAAUGGGCGCAAGCCUGAUCCAGCCAUGCCGCGUGCAGGAAGACGCAUCUAUGGUGUGUAAACUGCUUUUGUACGGGAAGAAACACUCCCUCGUGAGGGAGCUUGACGGUACCGUAAGAAUAAGGAUCGGCUAACUCCGUGCCAGCAGCCGCGGUAAUACGGAGGAUCCAAGCGUUAUCCGGAAUCAUUGGGUUUAAAGGGUCCGUAGGCGGUUUGGUAAGUCAGUGGUGAAAGCCCAUCGCUUAACGAUGGAACGGCCAUUGAUACUGCCAGACUUGAAUUACUGGGAAGUAACUAGAAUAUGUAGUGUAGCGGUGAAAUGCUUAGAU
This 631-nucleotide ribosomal RNA is filed under the name uncultured Flavobacterium sp. RNAcentral describes it as "bacterial SSU rRNA". It matches the Rfam family "Bacterial small subunit ribosomal RNA", at positions 61 to 695 of the family's 1533-position model. Lineage: Bacteria; Pseudomonadati; Bacteroidota; Flavobacteriia; Flavobacteriales; Flavobacteriaceae. The record is from RNAcentral.